AGGAUUAUAGUUUAAUUUAAAACCUUUGAUUUGCAAUCAAAAAAUAUUAUACAAAAAAUAAUUUAUCUUA
RNAcentral lists this transfer RNA (70 nucleotides) under Helicoverpa armigera (cotton bollworm). RNAcentral describes it as "tRNA-Ala". It matches the Rfam family "tRNA". From Rfam's summary of the family: Transfer RNA (tRNA) molecules are approximately 80 nucleotides in length. Their secondary structure includes four short double-helical elements and three loops (D, anti-codon, and T loops). Further hydrogen bonds mediate the characteristic L-shaped molecular structure. tRNAs have two regions of fundamental functional importance: the anti-codon, which is responsible for specific mRNA codon recognition, and the 3' end, to which the tRNAs corresponding amino acid is attached (by aminoacyl-tRNA synthetases). tRNAs cope with the degeneracy of the genetic code in two manners: having more than one tRNA (with a specific anti-codon) for a particular amino acid; and 'wobble' base-pairing, i.e. permitting non-standard base-pairing at the 3rd anti-codon position. The record is from RNAcentral. Lineage: Eukaryota; Metazoa; Arthropoda; Insecta; Lepidoptera; Noctuidae.